RNAcentral lists this non-coding RNA (23 nucleotides) under Gallus gallus (chicken). The record is from miRBase by way of RNAcentral. Lineage: Eukaryota; Metazoa; Chordata; Aves; Galliformes; Phasianidae.
GCAAUGAACACGGCAGUAGAGGU